Molecule: ribosomal RNA, 253 nt
Filed under: uncultured bacterium
Lineage: Bacteria
Description: partial 16S ribosomal RNA
Rfam family: Bacterial small subunit ribosomal RNA
Source: RNAcentral
UACGAAGGGGGCUAGCGUUGCUCGGAAUUACUGGGCGUAAAGCGCACGUAGGCGGUCUUUUAAGUCGGGGGUGAAAUCCUGGAGCUCAACUCCAGAACUGCCUUCGAUACUGGAAGACUCGAGUCCGGGAGAGGUGAGUGGAACUGCGAGUGUAGAGGUGAAAUUCGUAGAUAUUCGCAAGAACACCAGUGGCGAAGGCGGCCAACUGGUCCAUUACUGACGCUGAGGUGCGAAAGCGUGGGGAGCAAACAGG